GGGGGGAGCGCCGGGUCCUAGGCUGUGUCCCCCAGCACCCUGGGCUCGGGGGCCUGCGCUGCUGGAAUCCGCUCCCGGCUGCGCAGCCCCCU
This 92-nucleotide microRNA precursor is filed under the name Canis lupus familiaris (dog). Its description in RNAcentral is "mir-8799 microRNA precursor family". It matches the Rfam family "mir-8799 microRNA precursor family". The record is from Rfam by way of RNAcentral. Lineage: Eukaryota; Metazoa; Chordata; Mammalia; Carnivora; Canidae. RNAcentral also lists the same sequence under 1 other name.